UACGGGGGGGGCAAGCGUUGUUCGGAAUUACUGGGCGUAAAGGGCGCGUAGGCGGCCUGCUAAGUCACACGUGAAAUCCCUCGGCUCAACCGGGGAACUGCGUGUGAUACUGGCGGGCUCGAAUUCGGGAGAGGGAUGUGGAAUUCCUGGUGUAGCGGUGAAAUGCGCAGAUAUCAGGAGGAACACCAGCGGCGAAGGCGGCGCUCUGGGCCGGAACUGACGCUGAGGAGCGAAAGCGUGGGUAGCAAACAGG
This 253-nucleotide ribosomal RNA is filed under the name uncultured bacterium. RNAcentral's name for it is "partial 16S ribosomal RNA". It matches the Rfam family "Bacterial small subunit ribosomal RNA", at positions 524 to 776 of the family's 1533-position model. The record is from RNAcentral.